GGGUGCGUCGGAUAGUAGCAAUUCCGUCUCUCUGUAAAAGAGAUGCCUACGGGCUCCGCAGGUGCAAAUCCUGCCGCACCCA
This 82-nucleotide transfer RNA is filed under the name bacterium. RNAcentral's name for it is "tRNA-Tyr". It matches the Rfam family "tRNA". Rfam says of the family: Transfer RNA (tRNA) molecules are approximately 80 nucleotides in length. Their secondary structure includes four short double-helical elements and three loops (D, anti-codon, and T loops). Further hydrogen bonds mediate the characteristic L-shaped molecular structure. tRNAs have two regions of fundamental functional importance: the anti-codon, which is responsible for specific mRNA codon recognition, and the 3' end, to which the tRNAs corresponding amino acid is attached (by aminoacyl-tRNA synthetases). tRNAs cope with the degeneracy of the genetic code in two manners: having more than one tRNA (with a specific anti-codon) for a particular amino acid; and 'wobble' base-pairing, i.e. permitting non-standard base-pairing at the 3rd anti-codon position. The record is from RNAcentral.